GGCGGGGCCGCGCGGGCCUGCGGCAGUCCCGGCCGCCGCCGCCGCCGCCGCCGCCGAAGGGUCUGGAAGCGAGGGCGCUGUUGACGUUUUCAAAUGCUCUCGUUCGUAAGAACAAAUCCAUGACUUCAGUGACAAACUGAUUCAGCUUCCUAUGUUACCAGAAAGAUGCAGCGGAAUAUCUAAGUGGUUUUCCCAUAAAGUCGGGGCAGACAGAUGAACAGCACAGUGUGGCGUGGGCUCGAGUUAUCCUGCUUCACACUAGACCUUCUAAAAGAAAAAUGGAGACACGUUCCUCAAACUGGGAGCCAGGCAACACAUUGCUACAAGCUGCGGGUAGUUGAGCUCUGGGUUUGAGUCGGAGAACGGUCUGCAGUCGCUAAUGAAGAAAAUAGCAUGCAGAGUACCUUCCUGUAAAAAGACGCUGGAACACGGGGAUGAAGGCUCUGUGUAGGCACCAGCUCAACAUCUCCACGUUCAGUGAGUUGUGUGGGUGUUGUCUUCGUUAAUGGAGCCUUGCUGUCAGUCUGUGGAGAUCAACCUAUAGCAUUGGCAAUGGCCUGGGUUGUUUGGGGAAUUCCAUGGGACCUCUCUGGCCAACAGCUCAAAAGAUGAGAACCUGUGGAUUGCUUCCAGGCUAAUAUGGUUUGACCAGCCAAGACCCCCUGAAAAGUUUCUGAUGACACCAUGGCCCAGAUGAUCCAACAUCCAGAAUGGUUUCAAGGCAACUGGCUCAGACAAUGCAGCCUCAUAGACUAUUCCAGUCAGGACUUGACCAUAAUCCUAAAAUUUUCUUUGUAUCCCCAUAGAAAUACAGCACCCUUUAUCAGCAGGAAGUAGCCUAGAAAGCUAUACCCACAUUCCCAAAAAAUGGAUUAUGAAUGUUUAUCUUUGUUUAGGUUGUUGGUUACAAAUUGUUAUUGGUCACAGUCAAUCUCUUUCUAGAAGAAGAAAGAGAGAUAUGAUAUAGAAAUAUAGGAUAAAUAUUUUACAUUGCUAUAGAUUUUAGUUUAUUGAUAAAAAUUUAAAGUUAUUUUGUUAUACUUUAUAUAUUUCUACUCUCGUUUAAGGUAUUAUGUUUAUGUAACUCAUUUAAAUUGUAAUGAUAAUUAAGAAAUAUAGAUUAAUUAUUAGUCUUCUAUGAUAGUCAAACUUAUAAUCAUGUUAAGUUUUCUAGGUAUACAUAGAUAUAAUUCAAUUAGGUAGAUAAUCUUCAAACACUUCAAAGACCUACAGAAUAUGGCAUUUAAAGUGUUUUAAAAACUUAGACUUUCUGGACAAUGAGACACAUCUGUUCUUGGCAGCACCGAUUUACUUCAAAGAGAAAGAUGGGCGUUGAAGAUACUCCAUAUGGAGUUUACCUUCUUCUUGGGAAAAAUAGUCAUUUGGGCAAGAAACUGUUCUUGCCUGGACUGCUUGACAAAAUAUUGUAUCGGCUGGACAUGCAGAACCCAUAGGAAGGUGACCACUGAACUUUGCAAAGCAAAAUGGUCCUUCAGGUUCCUGCUUCACAGAAGAAACUGCCAGAUAUUCUACAGGACACAGAGAAGAGAUUGAGAAAUUCUAGGCUGAAGAUGGAUGCCCCAAAGUUACAGAGGAACUUUGAAUGACUGUAUAGGCAGCCAACUGUCUCUGUCAUUCUAGAUUUUUGGAAGUUGCUUAUAAUGCAUUUUCUGUUUACUUAGUUAAUAUUAUAUCCUUCUGGGGUCUUUCAUGUAGUUGAAGACUAGAUAAUUAUAAUUAUAAUUUUUCUUGGUUAUGAUAAAAAAUAAAUUAGAUAUGAAACUUUAGACUCACAAAUAUAGGAUAGAUAGAAUAUUUUCUUUUAUUUUGCCAAAUACAAAUAAACUAGAUAUUGUAACUGUAAUUCUUGCUUGAUAACUGUUCUAUUAUAUGUAAUUUUAUCAUGUUAAAGUUAAAACCUACCUUUUUGAUUAGACAGAAAAGGAGAAGUGCUGUGGAAUGUCUUUCUAUACGCUGCGAAUAUAUGUUACUCUGAUUGGUUGAUAAAUAAAAAGCUGAUUGGCCAGUAGCCAGGCAGGAAGUAUAAGUGGAAUAAACAGACAAAGAGAAUUCUGGGAAGAGGAAGGCUGAGUCAGGAUACACCAGCCCACCGUUCAGGGAGCAGCAUGUAAUAGCACACAGGUAAAGCCAUGGAACAUGUGGCGAUAUAUAGAUGAACAGAAAUGGGCUGAGUUUAAGUGUAAGAGCUAGUCAGUAGUUAGCCUGAGCUAAUGGCUGAACAGUUUUAAUUAAUAUAAGCCUCUGUGUGUUUUCUUAGGUGGUUGCAGACCGGGCGGGACACAGGAAAACUUCAGCUACAGCAAAUGUUCCAUAUUCUUGGUAUUUCUAAAAUAUUGGAGUCUCUGCUACAGCUUCACCUUUGCAGCUUCAUGUGUUGUUGUAUUAGGGGACACCUGCAGAGACCUAUGACCUGAGACCCUGCUACAUAUGAUGUGGUCUCUUAGGUGUCCGUGCAACUCUUGGAUUCUGUAUCACAUGAAUGACACCAAGGUCUUCUGCUUUCUUGUGAAUAUAGGGGACCCUUUUGACAGUGGCUGCAAUAGCCUCUGAGGGCCUGAGCAGCUGAAUACAGGGACGCAUUUCCUAGAUAAUCCCAUGUGAGCACGGCACCCCACAGUGCUCCUUACUCAAAGGAAAGACUUUCCUAAUGAAUUUAUAAUUUCAUGUCAUAGAACUCUCAGUGGAAGGGGCCUUGUUGUAGAAUAUUAGUUGAAGAUGUGUGACAUUUGUUUAUGCUGUGGAGUAUUGGUUUAAUGGUGCAAAGAUGUGUCACCUUCUUUUAUGUUGCAUUUGCUUAACUCUGUGAAGCUAUGUUGCUUUGCAUAUCUAAAACUCCUGAUUGUUCUAAUAAAGAGUUGAAUGGCAAAUAGUGAGGUGGGAGAAAGGAUAGGCGGUCUGGCAGGCAGAGAGAAUAAAUAGGAGGAGAAAUCUGGGAGGAGAGGAUUGGGGAGUGAGAAAAGAAGGAGAGGAAGACAUCAAGGGCCAGCCAGCUAUGGAAUAAGAAGGAAAGAAAAGAUAUACAGAAAUAGAGAAAGGUAAAAGCCCAGAGGCAAAAGGUAGACAGGAUAAUUUAAGUUAAGAAAAGCUGGUUAGAAAUAAGCCAAGCUAAGGCUGAGCAUUCAAAAGUAUGAAAAGCCUCUGUGUGCCUCCAAAAGCCCGAAGAGUAAAGAGUUAAAAAAAAAACAAAACCAAAAA
Molecule: long non-coding RNA, 3216 nt
Organism: Peromyscus californicus insignis
Lineage: Eukaryota; Metazoa; Chordata; Mammalia; Rodentia; Cricetidae
Exons: 4
Source: RefSeq, a predicted model, not a curated record